CCCUGCUCAUAUUUUCUUCCCAACACAGCCGCAUAAAAACGAGCCCUAGCUCGACGGCGAUUGAUGAAGCUUCGUUAGAAGAGAUCGACGAAUCCUUAGCUAGCAUUCUCUCCAACAAGGCGUUCAAUUCUAAUGUAGCAGGGACAACAAGGUUCUUAGGAAUUGAGACCAGUCAAGAAGGAGCUUGAAGGCAUGCCAUGAAAGUUUUUUGAUUGUAUAUAUAUUAGUACAAUGCCACUGAAGUACUAUGUCGUAUAUAUGUCAUUGAUAUUUUAGUA
Long non-coding RNA from Solanum stenotomum, 278 nucleotides. RefSeq lists it as uncharacterized. NCBI's taxonomy places the organism in Eukaryota, Viridiplantae, Streptophyta, Magnoliopsida, Solanales, Solanaceae. The record is from RefSeq and is a predicted model, not a curated record. The transcript has 2 exons.